Strigops habroptila (Kakapo) is the source of this 127-nucleotide long non-coding RNA. RefSeq lists it as uncharacterized. NCBI's taxonomy places the organism in Eukaryota, Metazoa, Chordata, Aves, Psittaciformes, Psittacidae. The record is from RefSeq and is a predicted model, not a curated record. The transcript is spliced from 3 exons.
UCCCUCAGCACUCUGGGAUGGAUCUCAUCAGGUCCCAUAGACUUAUGUAUGUUCAGGUUCCUCAAAUGGUCACAAACCUGAUCUUCUCCUACAGUGGGCUUAAGGUCUGCAUUUUCACAGUCCCUGC